RNAcentral lists this ribosomal RNA (250 nucleotides) under uncultured prokaryote. RNAcentral describes it as "partial 16S rRNA". It matches the Rfam family "Bacterial small subunit ribosomal RNA", at positions 525 to 775 of the family's 1533-position model. The record is from RNAcentral.
ACGUAGGGGGCAAGCGUUAUCCGGAAUUAUUGGGCGUAAAGAGUGCGUAGGUGGUUUUUUAAGCGUGAGGUGAAAGGCAAUAGCUUAACUAUUGUAAGCCUUGCGAACUGGAAGACUUGAGUGCAGGAGAGGAAAGUGGAAUUCCUAGUGUAGCGGUGUAAUGCGUAGAUAUGAGGCGGAAGAACGAAGGCGUGGGCAACAUUCAGGGCUGUAACGGCGACUGCUGCGGCUAACUGUGUGCAUCAAACAU